AUACGUAGGUGACAAGCGUUAUCCGGAUUUACUGGGCGUAAAGGGCGUGUAGGCGGUCUUGCAAGUCAGAAGUGAAAUUCCUGAGCUCAACUCGGGCGCUGCUUCUGAAACUGCAGGACUUGAGUGCUGGAGGGGAUAGCGGAAUUCCUAGUGGAGCGGUAAAAUGCGCAGAUAUUAGGAAGAACACCGGUGGCGAAGGCGGCUAUCUGGAAGAUAACUGACGCGGAGGCGCGAAAGCGUGGGGAGCAAACAGGAUUAGAUCCCCUGGUAGUCCACGCCGUAAACGAUGAAUACUAGGUGUAGGGGGUAUCGACUCCCUCUGUGCCGCAGUUAACACAAUAAGUAUUCCGCCUGGGGAGUACGGCCGCAAGGUUGAAACUCAAAUGAAUUGACGGGG
RNAcentral lists this ribosomal RNA (397 nucleotides) under uncultured bacterium. RNAcentral describes it as "partial 16S ribosomal RNA". It matches the Rfam family "Bacterial small subunit ribosomal RNA", at positions 523 to 918 of the family's 1533-position model. The record is from RNAcentral.